Molecule: long non-coding RNA, 577 nt
Organism: Chinchilla lanigera (long-tailed chinchilla)
Lineage: Eukaryota; Metazoa; Chordata; Mammalia; Rodentia; Chinchillidae
Exons: 3
Source: RefSeq, a predicted model, not a curated record
AGACAGGACGUGGAGCUCCGCCUCCGAGAUAGGAUUGGAGGAGAACUGGCCAGCUGACACUGGCAAAGGUUCAAAUGCUUGCGAUACGCUCAUCCAGUUUCCCGGCUCUAAAGACCAUCUGUACACUGAUGACUUUACUGCCCAGCUGGAAGCUUUGUCACCUCACAGAAUGGCUCUGAGGAGCUAACAGGGAAGAACGGACUCAUCUGAAGGAACCAAAGGACUUUGUGGGACUGACAAACAGCAACAGCUCAAGUCCUGAGCGGAAGAAACAGCGUCCGCCCCUGCUGGGGGACUCUGGUCGUGUGCCCGUCCCCUCAGCUCUGGGUGUGACCCAGAAAAUGGCAAGGUGCCGUCAUUCCAGAGGAAAUCUCAGCACAGUGUGAUGACUUCCUUGGGGUUCCUCAACACUAAUGUCAGUUGCGAUUCCUCUAAGGACGGUACACAUUAACCGCAGGGAACAGUGUAAGUGACGUAGUGACGCCGUGCGAGCUCUGGUCACCUGGCUCGCUGUCACCAGGCCUAGGAAUAUAGUUCCUGAUUCACACUUGUAAACUCGGCAGUAAAGGAUGUGGAA